RNAcentral lists this ribosomal RNA (759 nucleotides) under Flavobacterium succinicans. RNAcentral describes it as "bacterial SSU rRNA". It matches the Rfam family "Bacterial small subunit ribosomal RNA", at positions 20 to 780 of the family's 1533-position model. Lineage: Bacteria; Pseudomonadati; Bacteroidota; Flavobacteriia; Flavobacteriales; Flavobacteriaceae. The record is from RNAcentral.
CUGCUCAGGAUGAACGCUAGCGGCAGGCUUAACACAUGCAAGUCGAGGGGUAUUGGUUUUCGGACCAAGAGACCGGCGCACGGGUGCGUAACGCGUAUGCAAUCUACCUUUUGCAGAGGGAUAGCCCAGAGAAAUUUGGAUUAAUACCUCAUAGUAUAGCAGUUUCGCAUGAAACCACUAUUAAAGUCACAACGGCAAAAGAUGAGCAUGCGUCCCAUUAGCUAGUUGGUAAGGUAACGGCUUACCAAGGCUACGAUGGGUAGGGGUCCUGAGAGGGAGAUCCCCCACACUGGUACUGAGACACGGACCAGACUCCUACGGGAGGCAGCAGUGAGGAAUAUUGGACAAUGGGCGCAAGCCUGAUCCAGCCAUGCCGCGUGCAGGAUGACGGUCCUAUGGAUUGUAAACUGCUUUUGUACAGGAAGAAACACUCCCUCGUGAGGGAGCUUGACGGUACUGUAAGAAUAAGGAUCGGCUAACUCCGUGCCAGCAGCCGCGGUAAUACGGAGGAUCCAAGCGUUAUCCGGAAUCAUUGGGUUUAAAGGGUCCGUAGGCGGUUUAGUAAGUCAGUGGUGAAAGCCCAUCGCUCAACGGUGGAACGGCCAUUGAUACUGCUAAACUUGAAUUAUUAGGAAGUAACUAGAAUAUGUAGUGUAGCGGUGAAAUGCUUAGAGAUUACAUGGAAUACCAAUUGCGAAGGCAGGUUACUACUAAUGGAUUGACGCUGAUGGACGAAAGCGUGGGUAGCGAACAGGAUUA